UACGGGGGGGGCAAGCGUUGUUCGGAAUUACUGGGCGUAAAGGGCUCGUAGGCGGCCAACUAAGUCAGACGUGAAAUCCCCAGGCUCAACCUGGGAACUGCGUCUGAUACUGGAUGGCUUGAAUCCGGGAGAGGGAUGCAGAAUUCCAGGUGUAGCGGUGAAAUGCGCAGAUAUCAGGAGGAACACCGAUGGCGAAGGCAGGUCUCUGGGCCACUACUGACGCUGAGAAGCGAAAGCAUGGGGAGCGAACAGG
This 253-nucleotide ribosomal RNA is filed under the name uncultured bacterium. RNAcentral describes it as "partial 16S ribosomal RNA". It matches the Rfam family "Bacterial small subunit ribosomal RNA", at positions 524 to 776 of the family's 1533-position model. The record is from RNAcentral.